Carlito syrichta (Philippine tarsier) is the source of this 794-nucleotide RNA transcript. It is a transcript of the gene named tumor suppressor candidate 2 pseudogene, with no coding region annotated. NCBI's taxonomy places the organism in Eukaryota, Metazoa, Chordata, Mammalia, Primates, Tarsiidae. The transcript has a single exon. The record is from RefSeq and is a predicted model, not a curated record.
AUGGGCGCCAGCGGCUCCAAAGCUCGGGGCCUGUGGCCCUUUGCUUCGGCGGCGGGGGGGCGGCAACCCAGAGGCAGCAGGCGCUGAGGCAAGCUUUGGUGUGGGCUCGAGGCCGAGCCGUGCCCCCCUUUGUAUUCACGCGCCGCGGCUCCAUGUUCUAUGACGAAGAUGGGGGUCUGGCUCACGAGUUCUAUGAGGAGACAGUCGUCACCAAGAACGGGCAGAAGCGGGCCAAGCUGAGGCGGGUGCCUAAGAAUCUGAUUCCUCAGGGCAUCGUGAAGCUGGAUCCCCCCGGCAUCCACGUGUAUUUUCCUGUGAUCCUCUAUGAGGUGUGAGACUGGGAGGUGGCAGGCACAAGCAUCUCCUGCCCCAGCAAGAAACCCCCAGGCUCAAGGUAUGGUUUCCAUCGAGGAGCGCAAGCUGGGGCCACAACCCUGAAUAAACUCCGUUGACCCAGAACCUUCAGCUUUGAACCGGUCAGUCCCGCAGUGUUGGUUGGGUAUUGGUUUGUGUGUGGACAAGAGGUGGCUGGAGGCUGGCGGAGGCUGAUGGCAGACUUAGCAGCCCACUCUCCCCAGCCACUCCUGCAAGAGGCAUGGAAGGGCAUAUACCAUUCAGGAAUGCCUGGUUCCUGGUUCUUUGCCUGGCCUGCCUUCUUCUAAGCUUGCCUGGGGCCUAGCCCUGCUAGAGGCUACAGCACUUCAUAAGCAAGGUCUGCCUUCUUCCAGCCCCUGUGUUGUGGGGGCUACACACAAGUGGGAACUUCCUCUUCUUCACUUCCCUUUUACCCCCUA